GCUUAUUUUGCGCAGCUUAGGUGGGAGGCUAUGAACCUUUUCUUCUGGGAAGAGGGGAGCCAUCAGUGAGAUACCACUCUUGGUAAGCUAGAGCGCCCAGUCUUCACCGUCAUCCGGUAAGACGACAGUUUCAGGCGGGCAGUUUGACUGGGGCAGUCACCUCCCAAAAGGUAAUGGAGGUGUGCAAAGGUUCCCUCAGGCAGGACGGAAAUCAGCCAUAGAGUGUAAAAGCAUAAGGGAGCUUGACUGCGAGACUGACAUGUCAAGCAGAGACGAAAGUCGGCUUUAGUGAUCCGACGGUGCUGUGUGGAAAGGCCGUCGCUCAACGGAUAAAAGUUACUCUAGGGAUAAC
Molecule: ribosomal RNA, 352 nt
Filed under: uncultured eukaryote
Lineage: Eukaryota
Description: LSU rRNA
Rfam family: Bacterial large subunit ribosomal RNA
Source: RNAcentral